UGUGUGUGGGUCGCGACCAAGAACCAGUGGAGAAAGGAAAACCCUUUUUCCUUCAUAAAAUUUCAAGAAUUCAGGGAAUUAAGGUGCUAUUGAUCCAGAAAAUCGAAUGCAUGAAGUAAAUUCCUUGCUAAUCUAAGUGUACUGAACACAAGGCACAAAUAUGGAAGCGCUACGGGUCGAAGGUAAACACGGAAGCUAUGUGUAAAUUCGGACGCACGAGGUACCAUACGGAUUUCUUCUUCUACUAACGAAGAUGAGCGGACGAAGAUCGAGUCAAGAGCAAGGGUUGUACGGGAAGGAUCGGUCACAUAGUUUAACAAAUGUAGGUCCGAAGUAUUAAUAUAAUGGAACGUGGUAAAUCCUUUUUAAUGAGUGUAUGACAUUUGGUAUUCGAACUUUCCUGUAAGUACUAUGUCUAUUAAAGAACGAAAUUUUGG
Molecule: long non-coding RNA, 437 nt
Filed under: Helianthus annuus (common sunflower)
Lineage: Eukaryota; Viridiplantae; Streptophyta; Magnoliopsida; Asterales; Asteraceae
Description: sRNA HanXRQr2_Chr12g0563591
Source: RNAcentral